Molecule: long non-coding RNA, 4801 nt
Organism: Dermochelys coriacea (leatherback sea turtle)
Lineage: Eukaryota; Metazoa; Chordata; Testudines; Dermochelyidae
Exons: 3
Source: RefSeq, a predicted model, not a curated record
CCCCUGCCUCAUUCAGUGCAAAGGAUGGAGCGUGUUCACUGAAUGGAGUGCUACUGGGCAAGGAGUUUCUUUUGACUGAUUGGGUCAGUGAUGGCUGGAUUGCUUACGGAGGCUGAGAGCUGUAAUGUAUGCACCAUAGUCUGAAAAUGUCCAUGGUCAUCAACAUUUGGAGGAACUCCAUUUUCUGUACUCAGGUUUGGGUCUCCCUGGAAGACUUAAUGGCUGUCUGGGAAACUGGUAAGCUUGUGACAUCAGAGAAACCAGGCAACUGAAACCCGAAGGACUGAGCAGGGUGGUGGUUUUUCACUCAGGCACUUUAAAAGGCAGACUGGCCUUUGUCUCGUACUUCAUUUCAUUCCUGCCUGCCCAGUAUUCAGGGCCAUAUGAUUUACUCAGUGAAUCAUGCUCAGCAGCCGUAUUCACAAGCUGGAAUAAAUUUAUCUUAGUCUGCUGGCCAAUUACACCAACUGACUCCACUAUUGUUUAUUUUCUUCUGUUGCAUCCCUCUUCAGUACUGCUAACAGUGUUCCUUUUGAGCAUGGAUGGUUUUCCUGGCACUCAGGCCUGCCGGCCUGCCAAUCUAAUGGACCAUAUCAGUUAUCUAACUACUUGUAAGGGCUCCAAUUUCAGGACAGCGUGCAGUUGCUGUAAUGAGCUGUUGUGGGCGCGUACCUUUAUUGGCUAGAACGUGUCAUUCUUCCUCAAGUGUAUCUUUUUGAAGCUGUCCCACCCUCUGGUGCAUAGGGGGCUACAGGGCCUGCCACAACGAGCUGAUGCAUGUAUGUGGCAAAAAGUAUAGUGAGAUGGUGUAGUGUAGGGCAUAGCUAGUUCAGUGUAGGAUGUGAGACUCCUGCUGUUGGCUGGGCUGUCAGCACAAAACGUGCAGACAGAAAGAGGAGCCCCCUUCUGUCGCCUCCAAAAUGUUCAGACGCUCCAUUUGUCCGUGAGCCUGAGAGCCAUUGUGCAAAUCUGAGUGGCAAGGGGGCCAUUACAGUGAACAGAAUUGCGGGUGAAGUUGAGGCACUUGUUAUGCCAAAUGAUGUUGGAAGACUAGAGAUCUGCAGCAGGGAAUUUGCUGUCUAUGCGUAUUGUUAAAUGCCUCAAAAACUUCAUUAACCCAGAGUUAAGGUUGCCCAGUGGUGCCCUGUGCCCUUCCCGAAUGUGGAGAAUGGCUAACUUAAACCUCUGGAAGCCAGCAGGUACAAAGUUAAGGUACAUGUCACCCCUGUAAUGCAGCCUUAACUCUGUCCUCUUUGAACGAUGCCCCAACCUACCGGGAACACACACUCCCUACCACUCUACCCUUACAGAUGCUGUUGGAACACUUUGAUAACAGAGCACAUAAGCAUAGUAGGGUAACGUCUAACACCUUCUCUUGCUGAGGCAAAUUUGGGUUUAGGUCAGGCAUGGCAAACAGCAGAUGCCUACACCUGGCCUGCAUUCAACCACGGAGCAUACUCCACUCAAACCACCCCAGAAAUGCAAAAUGUUACCAUUCUUUCCCUGAGCCCUAGAGACCACUGUCAUGUAUGCCGCCAGACUGCUGAUAGUCCCCAUGGCAGGAAGACACUCCUGUGCACAUCUGCAGUCACAACCCACAAAACUCGGCAAUAAAAUAAGGCAAACUUGAUCCUUCAAGUUACUUGAGCACUUUUCUUCACAUCAUAGCCACAGCUCUGCCAAACUAUUCCACCUAAUCCUGCUUCCAUUCAAUGCAGCUACACCUAACACAGUGAAUGCAGCUGGAGUGCAUGCAGAUAAAUCUGGAAUUUAUAUCUUUGGAACACAACACAAAAACUGGCACAUUCUCUUAGUCCUUCCUCCUGUCUACAUAUUACAGAUAGAUUGAUUUUAAACUCCCAUUGAAUCCAUUUCACUCUUUUACUGAUAAUGUGAGAGAUUUGUACCAAGAUCCAUGGUAGAUUUGUGGAGCAACUCAAGGUUUAGUAAAGUUAUUGCAUUUAGCAUCACUCAGUGGGGAAAACUGUUGCUGUCUUUUGUUUGAUUCCCACCAUUUCUUCCCCUUGUCUGUUUGGCAGUAUGCAUGUGUAAUUAUAUGUGAAAAUGAAGCAUGUAUUUUGCAUGAUCGUUUACCUAGCUGUCUUUUCGAAAAUCUGACCCUUAAGUGUCACUAUUGGGUUUCAGAGUCAGCCCCGCUUUGAGAUGAAUGGGGGAGUUCGUAGCUCUGAACCAUUGCUUCUCCCCAUUGGACAGCCUUAAUUCUGUUCACACUUGGAAGGUUAUCUUUGCUACGAGAAGGGCCAGAAACUUACUUGAAAAAAAUGAAAAUGGAAUUCUGCAACAUCUUGACUCUGUCAUGAGCCCCAGAUAGUAAACUGGGCUGGUCAUUUUGACACCCCUCCACUUGCCUGUUCAUGACCAUAUAAAGAAGUCUGGCUGUUCCAGCUGUGGCUUAACACGUGGAUCUGUGACUUCUUUGAUAAAUUUUGAUAGAAAGAGCCAUCAGUUAACACAGUGAGUGAGCACCCUGCCUCCACCCUCGCCACACAACGUUGUUUGCAAAUGGAACCCCCGUGGAGCUUUCCUUGGUUCCUAGGUGCCUGCUAGUAACUGAGGCAGAGAGACGCUGUCCCUGGGACACAGCGGGGUCUUGGGCAGACUUAGAGUCCCAGAUACGAGGCAAUCAAGUGGGAGAAAGGGGAGAAGCUAGUUCUGCCGGCUUUGAGGGAGUUUUUGCCGCCUGUGCUUGGAUGGCCACCAGACCGCUUGCUUAAAGGAGGAAGAGAGAGAGAGAGAAGGAUUAAAACAAGGAUGAUUGAUGGGUUAAGCCUAGGGAACGGAAUAAGCCUAACUUAUGAGGAAGGGUCUCAUGACAGGGCAGCCCCUGAGAAGCCAUGUUGUGAGGAGAGAGAAGCCACGUACAUAGAGAGGAGCUAGCUACAGAAGGGAAAAUGUGUUUUUUGGUGAGCUAAAGAGUCCCAUGACAGCAUGCAGGGUUACCCUGAAAACUGGCCUCUGGGUCGCUGGCAACAAUGUUCCUAAACUUGUUCUAGUUCCUGUUGAUGGUAGCUCUCAGUCUAUAGGUUUCAGCUGGGAAAGCUCCCAACUAGUUAAGGACUAGAUUAGUUCCUUAGCUCUCUAGCUAAAGCAGUUACCACAUGGGAAGAAAUGCUUCUUGCUGCUAGAUCAGGAUCUCCUGCGUGUUUUGAUCUACAGUUAGGCUUUUAUAGAAGAAGAAAUAGGGAUUUAGGACAUUUAGAGUUAUUUUGGAUCGGGUCUGUGCCUGUUCCCUGAGUACCUCUGUGGGGAGAGGUACCUCAGAGGCAGAAGCUCUUUUCCACUUUUUGUAAUGCAAAAUUCUAUAAGCCCAGCAUGGGGUAGUGUGGACCUUGACCCCAUCAGCCCCCUCCUACAGCUGCUGAGGGAACCAGGCCAUGAUCUGAACCGGAGGAUCAUCCAAGUCACAGCGUUUGAGUGCAUCAACCCUUAGGUAAGUAGUCAGAGCCAUUGUCUGGAAGAUACCUAUCCACUGACUGUGUCCUAAAGUGGUGGGAUACUUUGCUCUCCACUACUAUCAAAUACACCAACCUCACCAGCCAGCCAGGGCCCCAACACAGUAUGUGUACCGACAGGACAUUAUUUUUCUCUGCUCUAAGUCACGGGGUUAGGCACUUAUGACCCUAAAAGUAUUCGUUUGCAUUGUUAAUUAAUGUUCACCUUUUGUUCAAUACAAUUACUCAGUCUGAUAUACUGUGUGUUUCUGUUAUUCCUUGCGAGUCUCCAUAUAUGAGGUGGCCGGAUCAGGAUUAGACAGUGGUUAGAAUUUUUUCCCUUCUAAGCAGCACCCUGGCACUUUUGCCAGGAAGGCAUGCAGGAAGAGGCACCACCAAGUGAUUGUGUAUCAGGACAAGUGAAAGAAAUCAUUGAAAAGGGCAGUGUGAGGAAGUAGAAUCACUGCUACAUUCACUGGGAGGUUGGUAAUACGACGCCCAAUGGCCCAUUGACGACAUUGGUAUGUUAGUGAAUUUGCACAAAACACAGAGCACGAAAAACAUCAACAUUUAAGAGAAGCACUAUGUGAAGGUUGUUGUCUUGCUCCUCUCCUUUCAACCACCAGCAAGCUCAUGGAAAGAGCGCUACUGAUACCAUCGAAGACAUCCUCCCAGCAGAGAAAGGUGGGAUUUCUCCUGAAGAGGAACUGCUGUGACCAAGUAACUUCACUUACUGGCCACAUUGAGGCAGGAUUCCAACGUGAAUUGAAAAUAGGGAUCACCCUUGUUGAUCUGUCCUGGGCAUAUAACACUGGGCCUCUUCCUCAAGAUCUCCCAUGUCAUUCACUGCUGGCGAAUGAUCUGCCUCUUGGUGGCAAUGAGUGGGGACCGUUGCUUUAAGGUACACCUGAAUGGCCAGAGCAGUAAACCAAGACCUCUUAAGUCGGGCAUCCCUCAGGGCUCAGUCCUGGCCCUGAUACUUUUUAAUCUAUGCACCGUGGAUAUACCAGCGACAGAAUCAAGGAAAUUCAGGGAUGCGGAUGACAUUUCCCUAACUGUUCAGCAUACAAGCGUUCAUAUCAUCAACUGCAGCCUAACCUGAGAUCUUAGCACAAUUACUGAUUAUUUCCAAAGCUGGAAACUUAGGCCUAACCCCCCAAAAAUCCAUGGUAACCGCUUUCCAUCAGAACAAUAAAAUGGAUAACACCAAACUCGAUGUGCAGUUCUGUGGUGAGAGCGUCAGCCACGAGGCUAACCCAAGGUAUUUUAGCGUUACACUGGACUGGAGUUUGACCUUUCAACAAAAAGAAAAGGAGUACUUGUGGCACCUUAGAGACUAACAAAUUUAU